GAUGAACGCUAGCGGCAGGCCUAAUACAUGCAAGUCGGACGGGAUUGAGGAGCUUGCUCUUCAUGAGAGUGGCGCACGGGUGCGUAACACGUAUGUAACCUACCUUGUUCAGGGGGAUAGCCUCUCGAAAGAGAGAUUAAGACCGCAUAACAUAUUGAUGUGGCAUCACAUUAUUAUCAAAUAUUUAUAGGAACAAGAUGGGCAUGCGGAACAUUAGCUAGUUGGUGCGGUAACGGCGUACCAAGGCGACGAUGUUUAGGGGAUCUGAGAGGAUGGCCCCCCAAACUGGUACUGAGACACGGACCAGACUCCUACGGGAGGCAGCAGUAAGGAAUAUUGGUCAAUGGACGGAAGUCUGAACCAGCCAUGCCGCGUGCAGGAAGACGGCCCUAUGGGUUGUAAACUGCUUUUGCAGGGGAAUAAACCUCUCUACGUGUAGAGAGCUGAAUGUACUCUGAGAAUAAGCAUCGGCUAACUCCGUGCCAGCAGCCGCCGUAAAAC
RNAcentral lists this ribosomal RNA (501 nucleotides) under uncultured bacterium. RNAcentral describes it as "bacterial SSU rRNA". It matches the Rfam family "Bacterial small subunit ribosomal RNA", at positions 28 to 526 of the family's 1533-position model. The record is from RNAcentral.